This 253-nucleotide ribosomal RNA is filed under the name uncultured bacterium. Its description in RNAcentral is "partial 16S ribosomal RNA". It matches the Rfam family "Bacterial small subunit ribosomal RNA", at positions 524 to 776 of the family's 1533-position model. The record is from RNAcentral.
UACAGAGGGUGCGAGCGUUAAUCGGAAUUACUGGGCGUAAAGCGUGCGUAGACGGCUAUCUAAGUCGGAUGUGAAAGCCCUGGGCUCAACCCAGGAAGUGCAUUCGAAACUGCAGAGCUGGAGUCCUGGAGAGGAAGGCGGAAUUCUCGGUGUAGAGGUGAAAUUCGUAGAUAUCGAGAGGAACACCGGUGGCGAAGGCGGCCUUCUGGACAGUGACUGACGCUGAGACGCGAAAGCGUGGGGAGCAAACAGG